Molecule: ribosomal RNA, 252 nt
Filed under: uncultured bacterium
Lineage: Bacteria
Description: partial 16S ribosomal RNA
Rfam family: Bacterial small subunit ribosomal RNA
Source: RNAcentral
AUACGAAGGGGGCUAGCGUUGUUCGGAAUUACUGGGCGUAAAGCGCAUGUAGGCGGACAUUUAAGUCAGGGGUGAAAUCCCGGGGCUCAACCUCGGAACUGCCUUUGAUACUGGGUGUCUAGAGUGUGGAAGAGGUAAGUGGAAUUCCGAGUGUAGAGGUGAAAUUCGUAGAUAUUCCCCCCGGAGGAACACCAGUGGCGAAGGCGGCUUACUGGUCCAUUACUGACGCUGAGGUGCGAAAGCGUGGGGAGC